CACGUAGGCCCCAAGCGUUGUCCGGAUUUAUUGGGCGUAAAGAGCUCGUAGGCGGUUCGGUAAGUCGGGUGUGAAAACUUUGGGCUUAACCCAAAGACUGCACUCGAUACUGCUGUGACUUGAGUCCGGUAGGGGAGUGGGGAAUUCCUGGUGUAGCGGUGGAAUGCGCAGAUAUCAGGAGGAACACCGGUGGCGAAGGCGCCACUAUGGGCCGGUACUGACGCUGAGGAGCGAAAGCGUGGGGAGCGAGCAGG
RNAcentral lists this ribosomal RNA (254 nucleotides) under uncultured bacterium. RNAcentral's name for it is "partial 16S ribosomal RNA". It matches the Rfam family "Bacterial small subunit ribosomal RNA", at positions 524 to 776 of the family's 1533-position model. The record is from RNAcentral.